Molecule: long non-coding RNA, 2398 nt
Organism: Carassius auratus (goldfish)
Lineage: Eukaryota; Metazoa; Chordata; Actinopteri; Cypriniformes; Cyprinidae
Exons: 3
Source: RefSeq, a predicted model, not a curated record
UGCCUCCCGUGCGCGCUCCCGCGCAGACGCUGGAUGGCAUGAGGAUGCUGAUGGAUGGCCUUGCAAUGAUUUGAACCCCUAAUCUGGCGUACAAGCGCAUCAUGCUACGGUCACAGCACACAUGAAGCCCUCUUGUGGUCACUCUGGGAACAGCGGAUGAAAGUCUUGUGCCGUGUUCUCAAUCCAUGAUGGUGAGCAGAAUCCAAAGGCAGUCCUGCAGUGUCAGAUAUUCUCUGUGCUCUUCAUACUGUAUCACUCUCUCACACUCAAGAAGUUUCCCCCCGAUCUCUCCAGCUCGAAACUGAAGUGUGACGGUGAUUCAUACAGAGAACCUGAAAAUUAUGAAUGCCACUGAUAAAUGAAACCAUCUUGGCUUUUGUGGAGUCCCGAAGCCACUAUUUGGGCGAGUUUUCUGAGAAGCAGUUACAAUGUGAUGGUGACAAGAAACGGCUGUAACGAUAACGGCGGUUAUUUGAAUAAAUAUUUGGCUAAUAUGGCAAAUAAUAACUCUGAAUCGGUUCCCUUCAAAUGAAUUCACUUCCGUUUUGUAAAACAGAAAUAUGUGGUCGCAGACGCAGACAGAUUUUCUGUGCAAUUAUGUAAAUUUUGGCCUAGUUAUCAAGUCCGAGGUGUCAUUGUUUUUGGAAAUUUACAGAUGCUUGUUUCCGUGAUGUGAGGUUAAACAUAGCACACUGUAGCAGCCGCCUUUCCGUUCAUACGACAAUAAUACCGCAACAAACACACAAAUGCACAAACAUAUUUGGACAGACACCUUUGAGCUCGUGCUGUAGCAACAGGUGAUGCUUGCCAAGUCCUUUCUGAAAGGUUGUGUAGGUGACAACGGAGAGCGUUGGAACACAUUUUGCUCAGUGUUUUUUUGCUUUUGUUUUUUUUUUACGCUGCACCCUCAGACUAAUAAUAUUCCCACAUGUGUCUACUAGUAAAUAAAGUUGCUUUGAAAUCCACAGCUCAUCUUAAAAACGUGUAAAUUAGUGUCGAGCACAGUGCUGUUGUUACAGCUGACCCCAGUGCUUACUAAAACAUCUUUUACGUCUUUUACAUGCAUUUUUUUUAUCAAUUCAUUUAAAAUGUAGUUUUAAAUUGCAAUCUGUGGAAAUAUAGCAGACAUGUCUUGUAAUAAAAUAUAGGCCUGUUUAGUGUUUCUUUUGUGGGCCAAAUAGAAUCACACUGAUGUCUGCAUCAAAUGAAUGGCACUAGUUCUGUCAUUUAACAUCCACACAUCAAAUAAGCUACCUUAAAAUGUUAUUUGAACACAGAUUCUGUCACUUCAGGAGGCUGGUGGUCAUGUAUGAUGAUGUUACAACACUUUCUGGUCUGCUCUAUUCAUUUAAGGUUUCCUCACGUUGCAUCAUGUUUGUAAUUUCUAUAUGGUAACAAUGCAUGUUUGUAUUCCAGUAAUGAAUAAGCAUUCUGACAUUAUUCUGUGUCUGUAGAUGCAAAGUAACAGCCAGAAAGGAUUUCCACACCCAGUCCAGAUGAGUAGCCUAUACAAAUUCGAAUUCUUUCAGAUCACAAUAUCUAAUCAGAAUUGUUUUUAUUUAAAAAAAAUGUAACACUUCGUCUUUAGAAUCAAAACAGUGUGCAGCGUUACUUAUUUCCCCUUCAUCAAAGAGAGGAAAUUCUGAAGCACUACUGGAAAUCUGCAUCGGAGAUGAUGCUAUCUGAUGUAUGUUUAUGUCGAACAAAUGUCAAAUGAACUAUGGUGUAAAAGCUUUCUAAUAACGUGAGCUUCGGGUCGGAUGACUCACAUUUGAAAGGAUUCAUUCGCAUCAUCAUAUCUGGUGCAAAACUCCUGCAGAGCUACAGUUUGAAUAGUUUCUUUUUCCGCAUUGCAUAUUAAAAUAAAAAUCCAUAGGGUAGAUCUUUAUGUUUUUAUCGCGAGAUGGAUGUUUUGAAUCAAUAUCUGCGACUUUUAGUAGCUGGAGAACAGGAUAAAAUAUUGAAAUCAUUUUUAAUGAGAGAAAAUUGUAAUAAAACAUAUUUAAUAUUGUGCUGCGAAUUACAACUUCAUGGCAUAAAUAUCCGCUUUAGCGUGUAUCUAAAUUAACGAUUAAAAUGGAAAGUAAUCUACAACUCCUAAAUCAACACUCGGACAGAACUGAGAUAUAAUUCUAUUAUGCAAACUUUAAAAAUUAACCUACUCGGAAGUGACAGAAAAUGAUUAUAUGAUCAUUAGGCUAUUAUGAAAUAAUAUAGGGUUUGGAAUAUAUUAGCUAACAUCCGCUUCAAAUGCGCGUUUACUUCUUCUUCACAAGAUUGUGUUCCUCUCUAUAUUCAUUUGGUUUUUAAUCUCACACGCGCGUAAUUGAAAACUUAUUGAUCUAUAAACGAGCUUUAAAAAUCAAAUGUUUUCUAGGAUUAAGAUCCGCGAGUGUGU